Molecule: transfer RNA, 71 nt
Filed under: Marmota monax (woodchuck)
Lineage: Eukaryota; Metazoa; Chordata; Mammalia; Rodentia; Sciuridae
Description: tRNA.Val
Rfam family: tRNA
About the family: Transfer RNA (tRNA) molecules are approximately 80 nucleotides in length. Their secondary structure includes four short double-helical elements and three loops (D, anti-codon, and T loops).
Source: RNAcentral
GGGGUCGUGGCUCAGUGGUAGAGUGCUUACCUCACAUGUGUGAGGCACUGGGUUCUAUUCUCAGCACCACA